Molecule: non-coding RNA, 713 nt
Organism: Salmo salar (Atlantic salmon)
Lineage: Eukaryota; Metazoa; Chordata; Actinopteri; Salmoniformes; Salmonidae
Source: RefSeq, a predicted model, not a curated record
UCUUACCCCGAGUCUGCUGUACGGUUACGAUGCAUAGAAAAACCAGCGAGGGCCUGGUCCGGAGGAAGCAGAACGUCCAGAGCUUCCAACUCGUUGAAGUAGAAAUUUUUAUACAAAUCGAGACCUGACUGCUAACAUCCUCCCUGAUACUGCUUUGCACACCUCAGGGACAACUUAAGAGACUCAUGUAUUUUUCAUCAACUAAACCCCCCUCUCCAAACAGAGAGAGCACAGGAUAACGACAUGGCCAACAAUUAUACAUCCCACACAGACUGGUGGAGGAGGAGAAGACUGCAAGAGAGCUAACUCCAGCGUUAAAAUAUUCACAGACAGCAUUAUUAAUAUUUAAUAUUCUACUAAAUCUGCUUUAUUGUUACCAAGCUAAGCAGUAUAUAAAUCAAGUUCUCUCAGCAGCCGAAAAGGAAAAGAGGGAGGGAUGGAGAAGGCAGAGAGGUGUGUGCGUGUGUGCGUGCGUACAUGUGUGAGAGAGAGAAAGAGAAAGAGAGAGAGAGGAAAAGAGAGAGAGACUGCUUCCAUACUAUUAUGAAUGCAUAUGCUGUGAUCAAUGUCAUGUUGGUAAAUUGCCAUUAGACGGAGGCCCUACCAGGUGCACUCAGAAUAAUAAAUCCUAAGUAAUGAGCGCCGAUCUCAGAUCUGUGGAAGGAAAUGACUCGUCUUUAACUGGCACACAGAGAGAGAGAAAGAGAAAGAGA